This 31-nucleotide non-coding RNA is filed under the name Mus musculus (house mouse). The record is from RNAcentral. Lineage: Eukaryota; Metazoa; Chordata; Mammalia; Rodentia; Muridae.
CUCACCAGUACCUAUAGGGAGAAACACCAAG